GAUGAACGCUGGCGGCGUGCUUAACACAUGCAAGUCGAACGGGAAAUACUUUAUUGAAACUUCGGUCGAUUUAAUUUAUUUCUAGUGGCGGACGGGUGAGUAACGCGUGGGUAACCUGCCUUAUACUGGGGGAUAACAGCCAGAAAUGACUGCUAAUACCGCAUAAGCGCACAGAACCGCAUGGUUCCGUGUGAAAAACUCCGGUGGUAUAAGAUGGACCCGCGUUGGAUUAGCUAGUUGGCAGGGCAGCGGCCUACCAAGGCGACGAUCCAUAGCCGGCCUGAGAGGGUGAACGGCCACAUUGGGACUGAGACACGGCCCAGACUCCUACGGGAGGCAGCAGUGGGGAAUAUUGCACAAUGGGGGAAACCCUGAUGCAGCGACGCCGCGUGAAGGAAGAAGUAUCUCGGUAUGUAAACUUCUAUCAGCAGGGAAGAUAAUGACGGUA
Molecule: ribosomal RNA, 448 nt
Filed under: uncultured bacterium
Lineage: Bacteria
Description: bacterial SSU rRNA
Rfam family: Bacterial small subunit ribosomal RNA
Source: RNAcentral